Molecule: ribosomal RNA, 450 nt
Filed under: uncultured Chlorophyta
Lineage: Eukaryota; Viridiplantae; Chlorophyta
Description: bacterial SSU rRNA
Rfam family: Bacterial small subunit ribosomal RNA
Source: RNAcentral
AGAGUUUGAUUCUGGCUCAGGAUGAACGCUAGCCAUAGGCCUAACACAUGCAAGUCGACGCUUCUGCAAAGAAGAGUGGNAAACGGGUGAGUAACACGUAGGAAUCUGCCCAACAGUCGGGGAAAUAGUUUUAUCUAUGAAUCCCGAAUCAAAAAACUAAGUGUUGUUGUUGGAUAGCCUGCGGAGGAUUAGGUAGUUGGUGAAGUAAGAGCUCACCAAGCCGAUGAUCCUUAGUGGUCUGAGAGGACGAUCAGCCACACUGGGACUGAGAAGGGCCCAGACUUCUACGGAAGCAGCAGUGGGGAAUCUUGGACAAUGGGCGAAAGCCUGAUCCAGCUAUAUGGCGUGAGUGUGAAGGCAAUUUCUGUCGUAAAACUCUUUCAUUGAGAACGAAUUAUGAUGUAACUCAAAAAGAAGCCCCGGCUAACUCCGUGCCAGCAGCCGCGGUAA